GCUUCAAGAGUUCUAGCCCUUAGAACUCGACUAACCACCAGUCGAUCAAAUCUUUCUCCAGACCUGAGUCUGGACCUUUUAGAAUCUUUCAUUAGAUCUGACCAUCUUCUUCUAGACCUCUUAAACCCUUCAUCUUAAGAAGAUUAGGCUUGUCUUAAAAGAACAAGCCUCGUCCUAAAAGAACUAGGGUGGUAAGAGAGGGAGAGAGGGAGUGGAUUAGAUCCGUGCAGGAAUUGAAUGAUCAACCCAU
This 250-nucleotide long non-coding RNA is filed under the name Elaeis guineensis (African oil palm). Its description in RNAcentral is "long non-coding RNA (EGUI_LNC075912)". Lineage: Eukaryota; Viridiplantae; Streptophyta; Magnoliopsida; Arecales; Arecaceae. The record is from RNAcentral.